This 550-nucleotide small RNA is filed under the name Malus domestica (apple). RNAcentral's name for it is "sRNA MD16G0068300". The stretch from base 1 to 96 matches the Rfam family "mir-395 microRNA precursor family". The record is from RNAcentral. Lineage: Eukaryota; Viridiplantae; Streptophyta; Magnoliopsida; Rosales; Rosaceae.
GUGUUACCAAGAGUUCCCUUGACCACUUCAUUGGGAAAUAGUCUCUUUUGUAACUAUAAAUCCUACUGAAGUGUUUGGGGGAACUCCUGGUUGCAUUUGAUUUACAAAGAACAAAAAUUAUCAGCUUCCUACAGUCCACCUCCACUUCCCGGGUUUGAUUUCCCAACUUCCCAUCGCAAUGUACUUGGUCUAUAUGAACCAGCUGUUAUAAAGGAAGAAGAACAUUAUCAGGUGUCACCAAGAGUUCCCUUGACCACUUCAUUGGGAAAUAGUCUAUUUUGCAACUAUAUAUCCUACUGAAGUGUUUGGGGGAACUCCUGUCGACAUUUGAUUUUAAAAAGAAUGAAAAGGGUAAUCAGCCUCCUACAGUCCAACCUUCACGUCCCAGGUUUGAGUCCCCAUCACAAUGUACUUUUUCUAUGAAGCUGUUAUAAAGGAAGAAGAAAAUUAGCAGGUGUCACCAAGAGUUCCCUUGACCACUUCAUUGGGAAAUUGCCGUUUUUGCAACUAUAUAUCCUGCGGAAGUGUUUGGGAGAACUCCUGUUGGCAU